RNAcentral lists this ribosomal RNA (253 nucleotides) under uncultured bacterium. RNAcentral describes it as "partial 16S ribosomal RNA". It matches the Rfam family "Bacterial small subunit ribosomal RNA", at positions 524 to 776 of the family's 1533-position model. The record is from RNAcentral.
UACGUAGGGUGCGAGCGUUGUCCGGAAUUAUUGGGCGUAAAGGGCUCGUAGGCGGUUUGUCGCGUCGGGAGUGAAAACCCAGGGCUUAAUCCUGGGCUGGCUUCCGAUACGGGCAGACUAGAGGUAUGCAGGGGAGAACGGAAUUCCUGGUGUAGCGGUGAAAUGCGCAGAUAUCAGGAGGAACACCGGUGGCGAAGGCGGUUCUCUGGGCAUUACCUGACGCUGAGGAGCGAAAGUGUGGGGAGCGAACAGG